RNAcentral lists this ribosomal RNA (433 nucleotides) under uncultured bacterium. RNAcentral describes it as "partial 16S ribosomal RNA". It matches the Rfam family "Bacterial small subunit ribosomal RNA", at positions 28 to 507 of the family's 1533-position model. The record is from RNAcentral.
GGCGAACGCUGGCGGCAGGCCUAACACAUGCAAGUCGAACGAACUCUUCGGAGUUAGUGGCGGACGGGUGAGUAACACGUGGGAACGUGCCUUUUGGUUCGGAAUAACUCAGGGAAACUUGUGCUAAUACCGAAUGUGCCCUUCGGGGGAAAGAUUUAUCGCCAUUAGAGCGGCCCGCGUCUGAUUAGCUAGUUGGUGAGGUAACGGCUCACCAAGGCGACGAUCAGUAGCUGGUCUGAGAGGAUGACCAGCCACACUGGGACUGAGACACGGCCCAGGCUCCUACGGGAGGCAGCAGUGGGGAAUCUUGCGCAAUGGGCGAAAGCCUGACGCAGCCAUGCCGCGUGAAUGAUGAAGGUCUUAGGAUUGUAAAAUUCUUUCACCGGGGACGAUAAUGACGGUACCCGGAGAAGAAGCCCCGGCUAACUUCGUG